RNAcentral lists this ribosomal RNA (466 nucleotides) under uncultured bacterium. RNAcentral describes it as "partial 16S ribosomal RNA". It matches the Rfam family "Bacterial small subunit ribosomal RNA", at positions 28 to 507 of the family's 1533-position model. The record is from RNAcentral.
GACGAACGCUGGCGGCGCGCCUAACACAUGCAAGUCGAACGAGCGAGCGAGAGCUUGCUUUCUCGAGCGAGUGGCGAACGGGUGAGUAACGCGUGAGGAACCUGCCUCAAAGAGGGGGACAACAGUUGGAAACGACUGCUAAUACCGCAUAAGCCCACGGUGCCGCAUGGCACAGAGGGAAAAGGAGCAAUCCGCUUUGAGAUGGCCUCGCGUCCGAUUAGCUAGUUGGUGAGGUAAUGGCCCACCAAGGCGACGAUCGGUAGCCGGACUGAGAGGUUGAACGGCCACAGUGGGACUGAGACACGGCCCAGACUCCUACGGGAGGCAGCAGUGGGGAAUAUUGCACAAUGGGGGAAACCCUGAUGCAGCGACGCCGCGUGGAGGAAGAAGGUCUUCGGAUUGUAAACUCCUGUUGUUGGGGAAGAUAAUGACGGUACCCAACAAGGAAGUGACGGCUAACUACGUG